CUGCCCGGUGCUUUGAAUGUCAAUGUGAGGAGACUCAUCUAAGCGCGGGUUAACGGCAGGCGUAACUAUGACGCUUUCAACGUAGCAAAAUGCCUCGUCAUCUAAUUAGUGACUCGCAUGAACGGAUUAAUGAGAUUCCUACUGUCCCUGUCUAUUUUCCAGCGAAUCUACAGCUUAGGGAACGGGCUAAGCUUUGACAGAACGGCAAGAAGACCCUGUUGAGGUUGACUCUAGCUAAUUUUUGUACAGUUGCACAGAUGGCGUAGUGUAUGUGGGAGCUCCGGCAACAAUGAAACACCACAACAUCUGACGCGGCUGAACUUACUCGUUUAACUGUUUUUUACUUAAGUAUAUAAACCGAAACGAGAACAUUCAUUGGUUGGGAGUUUGGCUGGGGCGGUACAUCUGUUAAAAUCCACCACAGGUGUCCAAUGAUUGUCUCAGUUAGAUCAGAAAUCUAACGUAGACUAAAAGGAGAAAAGAUAGUUUUAUCGUGACCCCUACAAUUGGUCACGAUUGCGAAAGCAAGGCCUAUCGAUCCUUUCAGAAACCGGAGGUUGGGCUGAGAGGUGUCUGAAAACUUACCACAGGGAUAACUGAUUUGUGGCAGCCAAGCGUUCAUAGCGACGUUGCUUUUUGAUCCUUCGAUGUCGGCUCUUCCUAUCAUGAAGUUGCAGAAGGCUUCAAGUGUUAGAUUGUUCACC
RNAcentral lists this ribosomal RNA (704 nucleotides) under Ilumatobacteraceae bacterium. RNAcentral describes it as "partial 23S ribosomal RNA". It matches the Rfam family "Eukaryotic large subunit ribosomal RNA", at positions 2198 to 2937 of the family's 3401-position model. The record is from RNAcentral. Lineage: Bacteria; Bacillati; Actinomycetota; Acidimicrobiia; Acidimicrobiales; Ilumatobacteraceae.